GACAGAGGCCUCAAGCGUUAGGCGGAAUCACUGGGCUUAAAGCGCGUGUAGGUGGAUUUUUUAAGUGCCUUGUGAAAUCCUGCGGCUCAACCGCAGAACUGCUGGGCAUACUGGAAGUCUUGGGUCGUCCAGGGGGCAACCGGAACAAGCGGUGGAGCGGUGAAAUGCGUAGAUAUCGCUUGGAACGCCAAAGGUGAAGACAGGUUGCUGGAGACGGUACCGAACACUGAGACGCG
RNAcentral lists this ribosomal RNA (236 nucleotides) under uncultured bacterium. RNAcentral describes it as "partial 16S ribosomal RNA". It matches the Rfam family "Bacterial small subunit ribosomal RNA", at positions 524 to 755 of the family's 1533-position model. The record is from RNAcentral.